AGCUCCAAUAGCGUAUAUUAAAGUUGUUGCGGUUAAAAAGCUCGUAGUUGGAUCUCGGCGAGUAGGGGGCGGUUCAUUAUCUGAUGCUACUGCCCCAUUUACUCGUGUUUUUGACAGCCGGUUGGUGGUCCCCUUAAAUGGGUGUCGCCAGUCACUGUCAGGUUUACUUUGAAAAAAUUAGAGUGCUCAAAGCAGGCUUAUAACGCUUGAAUAUUCGUGCAUGGAAUAAUAGAAUAGGAAGUCGUUUCUAUUUUGUUGGUUUUCGGAAAAUGACUUAAUGAUUAAUAGGGACAAUCGGGGGCAUUAGUAUUCAAACGACAGAGGUGAAAUUCUUGGACCGUUUGAAGACUAACUACUGCGAAAGCAUUUGCCAAGAGUGUUUUCA
RNAcentral lists this ribosomal RNA (385 nucleotides) under marine copepod environmental sample. RNAcentral describes it as "SSU rRNA". It matches the Rfam family "Eukaryotic small subunit ribosomal RNA", at positions 587 to 972 of the family's 1831-position model. The record is from RNAcentral. Lineage: Eukaryota; Metazoa; Arthropoda; Copepoda.